AUUGAACGCUGGCGGCGUGCCUAACACAUGCAAGUCGAGCGGUAACAGGUGUAGCAAUACAUGCUGACGAGCGGCGGACGGGUGAGUAACGCUUGGGAAUCUGCCUAUUAGUGGGGGACAACCCGGGGAAACUCGGGCUAAUACCGCAUACGCUCUACGGAGGAAAGCCGGGGACCGCAAGGCCUGGCGCUAAUAGAUGAGCCCAAGUCGGAUUAGCUAGUUGGUAGGGUAANGGCCUACCAAGGCGACGAUCCGUAACUGGUCUGAGAGGACGACCAGUCACACCGGAACUGAGACACGGUCCGGACUCCUACGGGAGGCAGCAGUGGGGAAUAUUGGACAAUGGGCGAAAGCCUGAUCCAGCGACG
RNAcentral lists this ribosomal RNA (368 nucleotides) under uncultured bacterium. Its description in RNAcentral is "bacterial SSU rRNA". It matches the Rfam family "Bacterial small subunit ribosomal RNA", at positions 29 to 396 of the family's 1533-position model. The record is from RNAcentral.